ACGGGAGGCAGCAGUGGGGAAUAUUGGGCAAUGGGCGCAAGCCUGACCCAGUAACGCCGCGUGAAGGAAGAAGGCUUUCGGGUUGUAAACUUCUUUUACCAGGGACGAAGGACGUGACGGUACCUGGAGAAAAAGCCACGGCUAACUACGUGCCAGCAGCCGCGGUAAUACGUAGGUGGCGAGCGUUGUCCGGAAUUAUUGGGCGUAAAGGGAGCGCAGGUGGGAUUGCAAGUCAGUCUUAAAAGUGCGGGGCUCAACCCCGUGAUGGGAUUGAAACUGCAGUUCUUGAGUGCAGGAGAGGAAAGCGGAAUUCCUAGUGUAGCGGUGAAAUGCGUAGAUAUUAGGAGGAACACCAGUGGCGAAGGCGGCUUUCUGGACUGUAACUGACACUGAGGCUCGAAAGCGUGGGGAGCGAACAGGAUUAGAUACCCUGGUA
RNAcentral lists this ribosomal RNA (436 nucleotides) under uncultured Anaerovibrio sp. RNAcentral's name for it is "bacterial SSU rRNA". It matches the Rfam family "Bacterial small subunit ribosomal RNA", at positions 341 to 792 of the family's 1533-position model. The record is from RNAcentral. Lineage: Bacteria; Bacillati; Bacillota; Negativicutes; Selenomonadales; Selenomonadaceae.